AACUUCCUGGUCUUGGUCUUGGUUUGUCAAACGUGACAUUACGGCAUUAUAUAUUGGAUGAACAUAAGGUUUGAAGUCAAAACCCAAGUCCUGAAUAUUUGGACGUGCAACACGAACAAGUUCCCCACAUACUCUUAAUGCCUCUGCAGUUACCUUGUAGUACCGCUCAUCAACAGCUGAUAAAACAGGACUAGAAAGAGCCUUGAUAUGAGGGUGGAAAACAGGAGGAGAAUGUGAAGCCAAUACCAAUUUCGUAAAUAUGAGAGCUUCAAUCUUCAAAUUUGAGGUUGAAGAUUUGUCAUUUAAUGCCUUUUCAAUCCCUGGAAUGAGUGAUCCAAUAUGUUCUGCUAGGCAGUCUGGCAAGACAACCACAAGUUCUUUCAGAACAGAAAAUGCACCAACCUUUGUCUUGAUAGAUUUCUCUCGAAGCUGCCUAUUUAUAGAUUUAACAACCUUCGGCACUUCCUGUUUCAGUAGCCAUCUUGGGCUUGAUUCAUUCAUGUCAAUCUGCCCUUUUGUAACAUUUCCAGUUUGACGUA
This 539-nucleotide unclassified non-coding RNA is filed under the name Hevea brasiliensis (rubber tree). The record is from RNAcentral. Lineage: Eukaryota; Viridiplantae; Streptophyta; Magnoliopsida; Malpighiales; Euphorbiaceae.